Cavia porcellus (domestic guinea pig) is the source of this 64-nucleotide transfer RNA. It matches the Rfam family "tRNA". Rfam says of the family: Transfer RNA (tRNA) molecules are approximately 80 nucleotides in length. Their secondary structure includes four short double-helical elements and three loops (D, anti-codon, and T loops). Further hydrogen bonds mediate the characteristic L-shaped molecular structure. tRNAs have two regions of fundamental functional importance: the anti-codon, which is responsible for specific mRNA codon recognition, and the 3' end, to which the tRNAs corresponding amino acid is attached (by aminoacyl-tRNA synthetases). tRNAs cope with the degeneracy of the genetic code in two manners: having more than one tRNA (with a specific anti-codon) for a particular amino acid; and 'wobble' base-pairing, i.e. permitting non-standard base-pairing at the 3rd anti-codon position. Lineage: Eukaryota; Metazoa; Chordata; Mammalia; Rodentia; Caviidae. The record is from Rfam.
GGGGGUUUAGCUCAGUGGCAUGAGCACCUGCUUGGUAAGCAGGAGGUUGUAAGUUCAAUCCCCG